This 379-nucleotide ribosomal RNA is filed under the name uncultured eukaryote. RNAcentral's name for it is "partial 18S ribosomal RNA". It matches the Rfam family "Eukaryotic small subunit ribosomal RNA", at positions 592 to 975 of the family's 1831-position model. The record is from RNAcentral.
CAAUAGCGUAUAUUAAAGUUGUUGCGGUUAAAACGCUCGUAGUUGGAUUUCUGUUGAGGGCAGCCGGUCCGCACUUCGUGCGUGUAUCUGGUUUGACCUCGGCAUCCUCUCAAAAUACGUUUCUGCGCUUGAUUGCGUGGAGCGGAGUUUGAGACUUUUACUUUGAGGAAAUUAGAGUGUUCACGGCAGGCAAUCGCCUUGAAUAUAUUAGCAUGGAAUAAUAAUAUAGGAUCUUGGUUCUAUUUUGUUGGUUUCUAGAGCUAAGAUAAUGAUUAAUAGGGACAAUCGGGGGCAUUCGUAUUAACGCGUCAGAGGUGGAAUUCUUGGAUUGCGUUACGACGAACUACUGCGAAAGCAUUUGCCAAGGAUGUUUUCAUUG